AUACGGAGGGUGCAAGCGUUACUCGGAAUCACUGGGCGUAAAGCGCGCGCAGGCGGCUAUUUAAGUUGGAUGUGAAAGCCUACGGCUCAACCGUAGAACUGCAUCCAAAACUAUUUAGACUAGAGUGUGGGAGAGGAAGAUGGAAUUAGUUGUGUAGGGGUAAAAUCCGUAGAGAUAACUAGGAAUACCAAAAGCGAAGGCAAUCUUCUGGAACACUACUGACGCUGAGGCGCGAAAGCGUGGGGAGCAAACGGGAUUAGAAACCCUAGUAGUCC
RNAcentral lists this ribosomal RNA (275 nucleotides) under uncultured bacterium. Its description in RNAcentral is "partial 16S ribosomal RNA". It matches the Rfam family "Bacterial small subunit ribosomal RNA", at positions 523 to 796 of the family's 1533-position model. The record is from RNAcentral.